Long non-coding RNA from Fukomys damarensis (Damara mole-rat), 622 nucleotides. RefSeq lists it as uncharacterized. The record is from RefSeq and is a predicted model, not a curated record. Lineage: Eukaryota; Metazoa; Chordata; Mammalia; Rodentia; Bathyergidae. The transcript has 3 exons.
GGCAGCAGCCCUUCUCAGCUCGCUUGCUCAGGCCUGGGCUCGACUGGGAUUCAGCCCCAACUCAGCCAUGACGAGGACACUUCUGGAAGGGCUGAGGUGGAGGUGGUGAAGAUCCCUGUGAUGUAAGUGACCCGCUUCCACUCACCACGACCUGGACAGUCAGCACUGGCCAUGAGCCCUGGACGCGCUGUUUUGUGUUUGUGAGGCAGGCAGUGGAACCACUGAACUAAGUCCUGGCCCCACAAAUCAUCCCAUUUCCCAACAGUGAAUGACUCACCAGCCAGGGUCCAGCUGAGCCCAGCCACCACCAUGAAGGAGCCAGGAGCUGCACAAUGGCCACUUUGGGCUCCAAGAGCCUCAGCCAUUAGCAGAAAGGGUGGAUUUGCCAGUUCCCUGCCUGCGCUCCACCUGGGUCUGCAAGGCCUGGUUCACAUACCCUGGGAGGUCGUCCCAGGUCCACAGGCUCCCCCCACCAGAAUGGCCUCGGCUGGUGCUGGGGAAGAAUGGGGAGCAUGGACACGUCACCCACUUUGGGGCCCGAAGGUCACAGCAGCGCAAGGCACGGGACCCCAGAAGGGACCCCGUGCCACCCUCAGACAAGGAGAGCUUGCAGUCCACGCAC